GCAUAUCAAUAAGCGGAGGAAAAGAAACCAACCGGGAUUGCCCCAGUAACGGCGAGUGAAGCGGCAAGAGCUCAAAUUUGAAAGCUGGCCCCCCCGGGGUCCGCGUUGUAAUUUGCAGAGGAUGCUUCGGGAGCGGCCCCCGUCUAAGUGCCCUGGAACGGGCCGUCAUAGAGGGUGAGAAUCCCGUCUGGGACGGGGUGCCCGCGCCCGUGUGAAGCUCCUUCGACGAGUCGAGUUGUUUGGGAAUGCAGCUCUAAAUGGGUGGUAAAUUUCAUCUAAAGCUAAAUAUUGGCCGGAGACCGAUAGCGCACAAGUAGAGUGAUCGAAAGAUGAAAAGCACUUUGAAAAGAGAGUUAAACAGCACGUGAAAUUGUUGAAAGGGAAGCGCUUGCGACCAGACUCGCCCGCGGGGUUCAGCCGGCACUCGUGCCCGGUGAACUUCCCCGCGGGCGGGCCAGCGUCGGUUCGGGCGGCCGGUCAAAGGCCCUCGGAAUGUAACGCCCCCCCGGGGCGUCUUAUAGCCGAGGGUGCCAUGCGGCCAGCCCGGACCGAGGAACGCGCUCCGGCACGGACGCUGGCGUAAUGGUCGUAAGCGACCCGUCUUGAAACACGGACCAAGGAGUCUAACAUCUACGCGAGUGUUCGGGUGUCAAACCCGUGCGCGCAGUGAAAGCGAACGGAGGUGGGAACCCCCCCGGGGUGCACCAUCGACCGAUCCUGAUGUCUUCGGAUGGAUUUGAGUAGGAGCGUAGCUGUUGGGACCCGAAAGAUGGUGAACUAUGCCUGAAUAGGGCGAAGCCAGAGGAAACUCUGGUGGAGGCUCGCAGCGGUUCUGACGUGCAAAUCGAUCGUCAAAUUUGGGUAUAGGGGCGAAAGACUAAUCGAACCAUCUAGUAGCUGGUUCCUGCG
This 909-nucleotide ribosomal RNA is filed under the name Penicillium capsulatum. RNAcentral describes it as "LSU rRNA". It matches the Rfam family "Eukaryotic large subunit ribosomal RNA", at positions 38 to 962 of the family's 3401-position model. Lineage: Eukaryota; Fungi; Ascomycota; Eurotiomycetes; Eurotiales; Aspergillaceae. The record is from RNAcentral.